CUUUUCUAUUCUUUUUUGAAAAUUUUUUUUCCUUUAAUCUUCUCAUGGGUUCCAUUUGGAUUUACGGACUGAGUGUGAAGUGUUAAAGGGGGCUGCUUUGGCCAACUCUGCUCUCUCUCUUUCUCUCUCACACUGUUCCAAAGUAAUUGAGAUAAAGGGAAAGAAAAGAAAAGUUGAAGACUUUCUUCUCUGCUUCUCUUUCAAGUCUCUUAUCCUAUCCCUGUCUGAUUCAACUGUGUCGGCUGCUGUUUUUGGUAUCCAGGACAAUAAAGAAGUAUUCUGCUGUGUGUGAUUUAUAUGGGAAGUUUUUUAUUGUUAUUGUUUCAGUUUUUGCAUCUGGCCUGAUCUUUAAGUCAAAGGGUCUCGAUUCAUGUUCUUGGAUUUUGUAAAGAGCUUCUUCCCAAUUUUCCAGAUGAUGAUAUGUCGAAACAAGAAGCUUUUUUCGAUUCUUUAACUAAUAUGCUUCUGGAUUUUGCUUAGUUUGUGUUAGGAAGUGGGUUUCUGUAGAGGUGGGUUUGCUUUUCUGAAGUUUGAUAUGGAUUUUUUGCACCUGCUUGCUGUUCUCUGAUCGUGAAGUUUUGUUUCUGUCCUUUUAAUGGACUAAAACCUGCUUCAGAGGAGUCUCUGAUCACAGCUGGGUUUUGUAGGAACUUGUAUAUAACUUUUGAGUUAUGAUCAAGCAAAUACUUGGUAGGCUUCCACGGAAGCCAUCUAAAUCUUCUGAGAAUCGUGAAUUUAGUGGUCAAUCUGCACCUUCUUCGAACACUUCUACUGGUUCUAAAAGCAGUAAUCUUGUGAGCAAUAAGCCUUCCACUUUGAACAAUUCGUCUACUCUGGUCUCUGAUUCUGCUUCUCAUUUAGGUUAUGGUCAUGGAACUAAGCCUACCCAGUCUGUGAAUCAAAAACUGAAUGACAAUUCAGUAGUUGCUCCUUAUGAGGCAUUGCCAGGAUUUAAGGAUGUCCCCAAUUCUGAGAAGCAAAAUUUGUUUAUUGGAAAGCUGAACUUGUGUUGUGUGGUGUUCGACUUCAGUGAUCCAACUAAGAAUUUGAAAGAAAAGGACAUCAAACGCCAGACAUUGGUGGAGCUUGUGGAUUAUAUUGCUUCUGCAAAUGGGAAGUUUACAGAAACUGUCGUGCAAGAAGUUAUAAAGAUGGUGUCUAUGAAUUUAUUUAGGUCGCUUACUCCACAACCACGUGAGAAUAAGGUUUUAGAAGCCUUUGAUUUGGAAGAGGAGGAACCCUUGAUUGACCCUGCAUGGCCUCACUUGCAAAUUGUGUAUGAAUUCUUUAUGAGAUUUGUUGCCUCCCCUGAGACAGAUGCAAAGUUGGCCAAGAGGUACAUUGAUCAUUCUCUUGUUCUCAAGUUGUUAGAUCUCUUUGAUUCUGAGGAUCCAAGGGAGAGGGAGUACCUGAAGACAAUUCUACAUCGUAUCUAUGGAAAGUUUAUGGUUCAUCGCCCAUUUAUCAGGAAGGCUAUUAACAACAUCUUCUUCCGUUUUAUUUUUGAGACGGAGAAACAUAAUGGAAUUGCAGAACUUUUAGAGGUUUUAGGAAGUAUAAUCAAUGGAUUUGCUCUGCCGCUAAAAGAAGAACAUAAAUUGUUCCUUGUUCGGGCACUAAUCCCCCUUCACAAGCCAAGGUGCUUACCUAUGUACCAUCAGCAGUUAUCAUACUGCAUUACACAGUUUGUGGAAAAAGACUGCAAACUUGUAGAUACUGUUAUAAGGGCUUUAUUGAAGUAUUGGCCUAUCACUAAUAGUUCAAAGGAGGUAAUGUUCCUAAGUGAGCUGGAGGAAGUCUUAGAAGCAACCCAGCCAGCAGAAUUUCAAAGAUGUGUUGUUCCCCUGUUCCGACAGAUAGCUCGUUGCUUGAGCAGUUCACACUUCCAGGUGGCAGAAAGGGCUUUGUACUUGUGGAACAAUGAUCAUAUUGAGAACUUAAUCAGACAGAACCGAAAAGUUAUACUGCCCAUCAUCUUCCCUGCCUUGGAAAAGAAUGGAAGUAAUCACUGGAAUCAGGUGGUGCAGAGCUUAACUGUUAAUGUUCGCAAGAUCUUUGCUGAUGUUGAUCCUGAGCUGUUUGAAGAGUGCUUAAAGCAAUUUCAAGAAGAUGAAGCAAGGGCAGAAGAUAUGAAGGUGAAACACGAAGCCACAUGGAAGCACUUAGAAGAGAUUGCUGCAAGAAAAGCUGCAGGUAGUGAAGCAGUGCUUGUUCCCCACGCUAUACCCACCCUAACAUCUUCAGGCUAGAGCUAUAGGGAUAUCCAUGUUUUGUAUAAAGUAUUCAUUUUUAUUGAUUGGUCUAGGAGCCAAAAGACGGUUAUUAAGCUUUAAGAAAGAAAGAAUCCAAUUUCUUUGUUGCUGCUCUCCAAUUUUUUCUGGUUGUCAAAGUCAAGACAGUCAGGGGAAACAUUUGUGGAGCAAUGGAGUUGACAUGCCAUUUGCUCAUGGGGAUCAUAUAUACAAGGUACACUUGGAGCAGAAGUUAACAAGCUGUGCUCCACAUUUAUGAUGAGGGAGUGGAAAUAACUAGUUUAGUUUGACCUUCUUAUAGUUGAUAUUUUAGUGUCUCAAGGAGCUACAAAAUACAAAUCACAGGUACUUUAAGCACUCAGUCUUGAUUUUAAUUGGUUUUGAUGUAUUUACUGAAAUUUCUUUGACCUCAUUUCUUGUGUGUGUGUGUGUGUGUGUGU
This 2692-nucleotide unclassified non-coding RNA is filed under the name Hevea brasiliensis (rubber tree). Lineage: Eukaryota; Viridiplantae; Streptophyta; Magnoliopsida; Malpighiales; Euphorbiaceae. The record is from RNAcentral.